Gasterosteus aculeatus aculeatus (three-spined stickleback) is the source of this 5223-nucleotide long non-coding RNA. The record is from Ensembl. NCBI's taxonomy places the organism in Eukaryota, Metazoa, Chordata, Actinopteri, Perciformes, Gasterosteidae.
GGAGGGGCCGGCGUACCGUCCUCAGUCAGCGUGUGGCUGGCAGAGACUCCGUCCGUGUCCGUGACCACCACGGAGUACCGGCCCAGGUCGUCUUUGUCCGGGUUGGUGAAAGUCAGCCUGGAGCUGGAAAUCCAAUAAAAUCCAUCAAAGACCCAUUAAAGUCCAUUAAAAUCCGUUAAAAGUCUGUUAAAAUCCGUUAAAAGUCUAAGCUAGAAUAACACCGGGGCAAACUAUUUGUUUUAUAAUUGUGAUAUAAAUAUAUAAAUAAUAAUAUAUAUAAAUAUGAGUAAACACGUGAGGUUGCAUUCUCACGUACGUGCGGCCCUUGGUGGUGACGGCGACCCUCGGGCAGUCGCCGAUGGCUCUGUAGUUCUUGGACCAAACGAACUUGGAGGUCUCAGAGAUCUCGCAGGCCUCCAGAGACAGGAAGAUGUCUCCGGUCUCCUCGUCCACGCCGGCCACCAGCUCCUGAGUGCCUGAGACCAAUAAAACCAUUUAUGUGUACAUCUUACAAAAUGACCCGCUGCAAACAACUGCCCCAAUCUGUCAACAAUUCCCCAAAUAAAUGUGUGCUCCAAUUAUUUGGGAUGUUUGUGUUGCUAAGAAAAUAUUCUCCCAGCACAUUUAAGAUUCAAUCAAUUCUGAAUUUAAAGUAUAAAUACUGUACACUUUACUUGGGUAUAUUAAUAAUAAUACAAUAACAUUGUGACAUUGAGGCAAUAUUGUGACAUUAAUGGGUUAAUAACUAAGAUAAAAGUCUACUACUUAAACUUCAGUCAGAAUUGAUAAUUAUCAUAUUUUAUAGCUGAAAUUCAGUUGUGAACCUUUUAAAUAUUCAAUUACUACCUGUAAACACUCAAUGUCUCCAGGCCUCUGUGGGUUUAAAGAUUAAUCACAAGGGAUUUUUCCUUUGCUGAUGACAGAGGACGUCGCGUGUUUACAGACUGUAAAGCUUUCUGAUGUAUUUUGAUUUUGACAAAAUUAACUGAUGUUAAUGUUUAAGCGCGUCUCUGUAACUGUAAAUGGUGUUUAGUGAGAUGGAGUGACGUGAGAGAAGGGUAUGUUGUUGUUGUUGUUGUUGUUGACACAACAAGGUGUGACCCAGAACAAACCAGUGGUGCUUAGUGGUGGUUACCUGGCAGAGCUUUGGCACAGACCGGCUCAGACGCCUGGGACGGUUUCCCGACCCCGUUGGCGUUGAUGGACCGGACUCUGAAGACGUAGGCUUCCCCUUCCUCCAGACCAGUCACCUGCAGGAAACCACGGUAACCACGGUAACCACGGAAGCACAACGUCACAGGCUCCGCGCGGAUGUUUUCAUUGACAGCAAAACUAUUAAAGACGAGAUAUAAAGCAUCAUUUUUUUCCCGUUGCGUUGUUGGCUUUAAUUGGCGGUGGUUUUGGCGCUCCCUGUGGAGGACAGCGGUAGUGUUCUUAGACUAUUUCUACUGCAGCAGGUCAGACGGGCUGAGGGUCUGUGUGAUGUCACCUCGGUCUAUAUUCUAGUUAAAAACAGAGUUCUGUUCGUUGGCCUGGUUAACUUCUGCCGGCCUCCUACCUGCAGGUAACGAUGGCUCACGGCCUCCUGGUUCAGAGUAGCAAACUCCGAUGAGCCUUUCUUGGCCAUCUCCACCACGUAUCCAGUCACUGCACUGGCCCCGGUGUAGACCGGAGCCUUCCACAGGAUGACCAGGGACUGACCUCUGACCUCGCUGAAGCUCAGGUCGUAGGCCGGGCCUGGAGGACGGGCGUAGGAUAACAGGAAGAUGAGCAGAAAGGAACGAUGUCUGCACAUUGUUGUCAUUAUUGUAGAAGCAGCGGCGGUCCUCCACCUGGCUCGUCCAUGGUCCCACGCUUCACAUUUCAUCGGAGCGCUGGGAGCACUGGGAACGCCGACACCGGCCAUGUUAGCGGGCCUGGAUCUUAAACUCGUAGAAGACUCCCUCCGUCAGAUUGUCAAUCUGAAGAUACAGAGAGAGCGAGAAAAACAGAGAGUCUCUGUUUCUAUAAUCCAGAGUGUGAUUGUUUCUAUAAUCCAGAGUGAUUGGUUCUAUAAUACAGUGUGAUUGUUACUAUAAUCCAGUGUGAUUGUUACUAUAAUCCAGUGUGAUUGGUUCUAUAAUCCAGAGUGUGAGUGUUACUAUAAUCCAGUAUGAUUGUUUCUAUAAUACAGAGUGUGAUUGUUACUAUAAUCCAGUGUGAUUGUUUCUAUAAUCCAGUGUGAUUGGUUCUAUAAUCCAAUGUGAUUGUUUCUAUAAUCCAGAGUGUGAUUGGUUCUAUAAUCCAGGGUGAUUGUUUCCAUGCAGUGUGAUAUGAGCCCACUCACGCUGCAGAGCCUCUCUGUGACCCCCGUCAUGUUGACCUCGUUCCACAGCAGCGUGUCGGCGUUCCUCUUGUCGAUGUAGUAGGCGUUGAUCUUGGAGCCCCCGCAGUGGGCGGGGCUCUUCCAGGCCAAGGUCAUGGAGGAGCCGUCGCAGCUCAGCAUGGUGAUGCCGAACGGAGCGCUGGGAGUCGCUGCAUCACAGAGAACCUUCAUGUUUAAUAUCAGAGGCUUAACAACCGUUAAGAGCUUUAAAAAAGUAUGUACGUGAGAAAAACAUCCGUGUUUCACUACUUGACUUUACUGUGAGAGUGAAAGUAUCCAUAAUGAAUUAUAAUCAUACUUACAAUAUGUUAAACUCUGCUUAUAGCACAUUAUACUCACACACUUUAUAUCAGUAAUGAUUACACAUUAUAAACCAAAUAGUAACUUACAAGGUCAAAUGAAGAAAUACUUUAAGACCAACAAUUAAAGUUCAUAAUUGUUGGUCUUAGAUAUUGUUAUUAUUAUUAGACGGUUAUUAAUAGGAUGACAAAAUACUAAUAAUAAAAAAGCUUUUAAAUGUGUUGUUGCUAUAAAGCAUUUUUCUCUGAGUGGUUAUAACUAUAAUUGUACAGUUCUGUAUGCAGACGAUAACACAUUGUGAAUAUGUUCAUAAUGUAUAUAGAUGUGGACGUGUUAAAUAUAUCAAAUAAAUAAACACGUCUCAUAACUGAACAUAAACAAAAUACCAUCUUUCUUUGACUGUGACAUUUCACAUGUGAUUAAAGCUCACGAUGCACAGUGACAGUGCACAAAGUGAGGGAGUCAGGAGGGGGGAAAUCAGCUGUUUCCCUACGUACCAUAUUCCCCCCCCGGGCCUGGAUAGAGUGAUGAAAUGAACACAACAAUGAACACAACAUAUGACAUCACCAUCAACCUCCCAUCACCCCCUUCGUUUACCUUUCACUCUGUAAGUCUUUAAGCAGAGCUUAUAAUAAAGAAAUAUUAAGAUAAAGGUAUAUUUUAAUAGGGGUAUAUUAGGAUAAAGUUAUAUUAUAAUUAUAAUGUAAGUUAUAUAUUGUUAGGUAUAUUGUAAUAAAGGUAUAUUGUGAUAAAGGUAUAUUAGUAUAAAGGUAUAUUAGGAUAAAGGUAUAUUGUAAUAAAGGUAUAUUAGGAUAAAGGUAUAUUAGGAUAAAGGUAUAUCAGGAUAAAGGUAUAUUGUAAUAAAGGUAUAUUAGGAUAAAGGUAUAUUGUAAUUAAGGUAUAUCAGGAUAAAGGUAUAUUGUAAUAAAGGUAUAUUAGGAUAAAGGUAUAUUGUAAUAAAGGUGUAUCAGGUAAAGGGGGGGUCUCUUACAGAGGGUCGGCUCCACGGAGAUGGGAGAGGACUCCUGAGACUCCUCGCUGAGGCCGAACACGUUGACGGCCUGGACGCGGAACGUGUAGGUUUCUCCUGGGAUGAGCCCGUGCACCACGAACCUGAAGCACGCACACACACACAGACACACACACAUUAUUCUUCAGUCACAGUCACCAUGAUCUUUUGUGCCUAAUAGUGUUGCCAACAUUACUCAUGUGUAUGCAAAUUAUUUCUCUCCGUAGACACUUUAAAACAUAAUACGUAACAUUUGUACAUGAUCAACGAGUCGAAUUAGGACAAAUCCAUCCAGUACAUCAGCUUGUGUCGUCACUUAGAACACCGGCCUUUUUGGCCCAGAAACUCCAAAAGAACUCUGAGAUACAACAAAAGCUUUCACAGGUGUCGAGACCCCUCCUCUGCAGGUGGACCUCAUUGAGGGGGGGGGGGGGGGGUACCUGGAUUGCUUGAAGGGUUUGUGGUUGCAGGGGAACCAGUCCUUGGUCCCGGCGACGCGGCGUCGAUGUAGUAGCCCACCAGGUUCUUCGGAUGACUCGGGGGGUCCCACUGCACGAACACGGAGGACUUGGUGUUCCUGGGGGCCACCACCUGACCGGGAGCAGAGGGGACGCCUGUCGGGGGGGGUGACAUGUAGACGUGAGAACACAUUGGACAUUCUAGGGAAAAGGACCCGUGGACAUCUGUACAGAGUCAACGAGGGGCUCGCUGCACUGCGUCGGGGCAGCUGUCAAUCACAGGAAUCAAACGCACAACCCGUGUUUAUGCCUUCUGCAAAGUGAGCGGCUGCAGGUCACAAUGACCGACAACUAUUAAACGUGCGAAGACAAAGAAGCGUCAGGAGGACCAACAAAUGUGGGGGGGGGGGGAACAUGACAUGUGGUUUUGUUUUAAGGAUCCGUGACAGAAGAGUGAAGUUAGAGAACAUUUGACUUGAGAGAUGCGAGACUGUGAUGUAAAACAAACAACAAUAUCUUUUGUUUCCAAAUAGCGGCUACACACCAAUAAUAAGGCUGCACAAUGCAUGCUGGGAUACGAGCCUGAUGGAGAUAGGAUGACAUAUAUAUAUAUUUAUAUAUACUGAAUCCUCUCCCCAGGGCGAGGAGUGAAGGGACCUGUGAGGUCACAAUGGCGUGAAUCAGUGUUUAAGUUGAACUGUACGUACCCAGCGGCCCCCCAGCACCUGUAACACACCGCACGUCCACCAGAGCUCAACGAACGCACUUUAAACCAAGAUGAACUACAAGUCCCUCAGGAAGCCUCCGGCGAUUUGGGUUGUUUGAAACCGCCGGGGAGCGUACGGCGAAAUGAAGAUAUCACAUAAAAGCUGUCAGGACGUGUUUGCACGCCUUACCGUCCUCGCCCCCCCUCUGGGCGGGCUCCGAGGGCUCCGAGGCCUCGCUGGAGCCGAACCGGUUGACCGCGGUCACUCGGAAGCGGUACCUUUGCCCCUCUUGCAAAUCAAAAACCGGGUAGCGGGGCGAGUGCAGCUCGACCGCCGCGUUGAUCCGCUGCCAAGCUGCAGUGCCCGCUAAGCACUGUGGGAGAG